GGGAUAUUAGCUCAGCCGGUAGAGCACAUGACUUUUAAUCAUGGUGUCCCGGGUUCGAAUCCCGGAUGUCUCA
This 73-nucleotide transfer RNA is filed under the name Anaerotaenia torta. Its description in RNAcentral is "tRNA-Lys". It matches the Rfam family "tRNA". From Rfam's summary of the family: Transfer RNA (tRNA) molecules are approximately 80 nucleotides in length. Their secondary structure includes four short double-helical elements and three loops (D, anti-codon, and T loops). Further hydrogen bonds mediate the characteristic L-shaped molecular structure. tRNAs have two regions of fundamental functional importance: the anti-codon, which is responsible for specific mRNA codon recognition, and the 3' end, to which the tRNAs corresponding amino acid is attached (by aminoacyl-tRNA synthetases). tRNAs cope with the degeneracy of the genetic code in two manners: having more than one tRNA (with a specific anti-codon) for a particular amino acid; and 'wobble' base-pairing, i.e. permitting non-standard base-pairing at the 3rd anti-codon position. Lineage: Bacteria; Bacillati; Bacillota; Clostridia; Lachnospirales; Lachnospiraceae. The record is from RNAcentral. RNAcentral also lists the same sequence under 1 other name.